UUUGGCCAUAUUACGACGAAACACCGAUCCUUGCAAGAUCAUCGAAGUUAAGCAACGUUGAGCCUAGUCAGUACCUAGAUGGGUGACCAUGAGGAAUACCAGGUGCUGUAAG
Acanthosepion pharaonis is the source of this 112-nucleotide non-coding RNA. The record is from the annotation of a GenBank genome assembly. NCBI's taxonomy places the organism in Eukaryota, Metazoa, Mollusca, Cephalopoda, Sepiida, Sepiidae.